This 455-nucleotide ribosomal RNA is filed under the name uncultured eukaryote. Its description in RNAcentral is "bacterial SSU rRNA". It matches the Rfam family "Eukaryotic small subunit ribosomal RNA", at positions 720 to 1108 of the family's 1831-position model. The record is from RNAcentral.
AUAUCACGAGCCCCGCGAGGGACGGCGCCGCCCCGGGGCUCGUGAUAUCUCAUCUCGCCGCCCGUCGCGAGGCGGACGGAGGGAUGGAUGAGGUUACCUGGAAAAAAUCGGGGCGAUCUAGGCGGGCGAACCUCGCCAACGAACGAUCGGACAUGGGAUAACGGAAGAGGGCGUCGGCUCGACUUCGUCGGUUCCUCGGGCCGAGGCACGUACGGUGAAUAGGGACGGUCGGGGCCGCCCGUACCGGGUCGUGAGAGGUGAAAUUCUAGGAUCGACCCGAGACGAACCGCCGCGAAAGCAUUCGGCAAGGACGCUUUCAUUAAUCAAGAACGAAAGUCGGGGGAUCGAAGACGAUCAGAUACCGUCGUAGUCCCGACCGUAAACGAUGCCGACCGAGGGCCCGGAGGAGUUACGUACGACCCUCCGGGCCCUCCCGCGAGAAAUCAGGAGUAUUC